UCGAGGAUCUUCGGCAAUGGGCGCAAGCCUGACCGAGCGACGCCGCGUGUGCGAUGAAGGCCUUCGGGUUGUAAAGCACUGUCGAGGGGGAGGAAGCCGCAAGGUUGACCUAUCCCUGGAGGAAGCACGGGCUAAGUUCGUGCCAGCAGCCGCGGUAAGACGAACCGUGCGAACGUUGUUCGGAUUCACUGGGCUUAAAGGGCGCGUAGGCGGGUUACCAAGUCAGGGGUGAAAUCUUUCGGCUCAACCGGAAAACGGCCCCUGAUACUGGUAGUCUUGAGGGAGGUAGGGGCAGGUGGAACUUCCGGUGGAGCGGUGAAAUGUGUUGAUAUCGGAAGGAACGCCGGUGGCGAAAGCGACCUGCUGGAUCUCUUCUGACGCUGAGGCGCGAAAGCUAGGGGAGCGAACGGGAUUAGAUACCCGGGUAGUCC
This 431-nucleotide ribosomal RNA is filed under the name uncultured bacterium. RNAcentral's name for it is "bacterial SSU rRNA". It matches the Rfam family "Bacterial small subunit ribosomal RNA", at positions 355 to 796 of the family's 1533-position model. The record is from RNAcentral.